This 138-nucleotide small nucleolar RNA is filed under the name Ornithorhynchus anatinus (platypus). Lineage: Eukaryota; Metazoa; Chordata; Mammalia; Monotremata; Ornithorhynchidae. The record is from RNAcentral.
CCCCUCUCAGGGUCGCAUCUGGAGAGUUUCCAGUACUCUAUCAGUCUCGGCUAUGGGAAGGAGAGUCAAGCAGAGGCAUACCCAUUCCAUUUCUAGCUUGGACAGUGGCUAGAGGGUGGAAGGUAAUCUGCUACAAGU